This 345-nucleotide unclassified non-coding RNA is filed under the name soil metagenome. Its description in RNAcentral is "partial contains 5.8S ribosomal RNA, internal transcribed spacer 2, and large subunit ribosomal RNA". The stretch from base 1 to 120 matches the Rfam family "5.8S ribosomal RNA", at positions 35 to 154 of the family's 154-position model. The record is from RNAcentral.
GAUGAAGAACGCAGUGAAAUGCGAUACGUAAUGUGAAUUGCAGAAUUCAGUGAAUCAUCGCGUCUUUGAACGCACAUUGCGCCCCCUGGUAUUCCGGGGGGCAUGCCUGUCCGAGCGUCAUUGCUGCCCUCAAGCACGGCUUGUGUGUUGGGCCUCCGUCCUCCUCCCGGGGGACGGGCCCGAAAGGCAGCGGCGGCACCGCGUCCGGUCCUCGAGCGUAUGGGGCUUCGUCACCCGCUCUUGUAGGCCCGGCCGGCGCUUGCCGACACAUCAAUCUUUUUUCCAGGUUGACCUCGGAUCAGGUAGGGAUACCCGCUGAACUUAAGCAUAUCAAUAAGCGGAGGA